RNAcentral lists this ribosomal RNA (433 nucleotides) under uncultured bacterium. RNAcentral's name for it is "partial 16S ribosomal RNA". It matches the Rfam family "Bacterial small subunit ribosomal RNA", at positions 29 to 507 of the family's 1533-position model. The record is from RNAcentral.
AGCGAACGCUGGCGGCAGGCCUAACACAUGCAAGUCGAACGGAUCCUUCGGGAUUAGUGGCGGACGGGUGAGUAGCACGUGGGAACGUGCCCUUUGGUUCGGAACAACUCAGGGAAACUUGAGCUAAUACCGGAUGUGCCCUUCGGGGGAAAGAUUUAUCGCCAUUGGAGCGGCCCGCGUCUGAUUAGCUAGUUGGUGAGGUAACGGCCCACCAAGGCGACGAUCAGUAGCUGGUCUGAGAGGAUGAUCAGCCACACUGGGACUGAGACACGGCCCAGACUCCUACGGGAGGCAGCAGUGGGGAAUCUUGCGCAAUGGGCGAAAGCCUGACGCAGCCAUGCCGCGUGAAUGAUGGAGGUCUUAGGAUUGUAAAAUUCUUUCAGCGGGGACGAUAAUGACGGUACCCGCAGAAGAAGCUCCGGCUAACUUCGUG